AUUAUUAACUUCUAAUAUGACAGAAAAAAUGUAAUGAACUUAAAAUUCAUCUAUAAAGAUUAAUCUUUUUUUAGAAA
This 77-nucleotide transfer RNA is filed under the name Meitanaphis microgallis. RNAcentral's name for it is "tRNA-Leu". The record is from RNAcentral. Lineage: Eukaryota; Metazoa; Arthropoda; Insecta; Hemiptera; Aphididae.